This 247-nucleotide long non-coding RNA is filed under the name Vigna radiata. RNAcentral describes it as "long non-coding RNA (VRAD_LNC000648)". Lineage: Eukaryota; Viridiplantae; Streptophyta; Magnoliopsida; Fabales; Fabaceae. The record is from RNAcentral.
GGGUGGCCAAAGGAUCAUACACAGGCGGGUGGAUCUGGAGAAGCUGGAGCUUCAACCAUGGAGGAAGAUGAUGAGGAUGAUGAUGAUGAAGAUUGUGAUGUUGAAGAAGAAGAGGAAGAGGAAGAUGACGAAGAGGAGGAUGAGGACUCAAAUGAUAAUAGAGGAUGAUAGCAUUUACUGAUGAAGGCUAUUUGCAGUAGAACAGGAUUUUUCUUAUCUUUUUUCUUGUUGAAUUUUGUUUUUGUUA